UGGCAUCUUCAGUAUGACCUGCUU
RNAcentral lists this non-coding RNA (24 nucleotides) under Mus musculus (house mouse). The record is from RNAcentral. Lineage: Eukaryota; Metazoa; Chordata; Mammalia; Rodentia; Muridae.